RNAcentral lists this ribosomal RNA (355 nucleotides) under uncultured bacterium. Its description in RNAcentral is "partial 16S ribosomal RNA". It matches the Rfam family "Bacterial small subunit ribosomal RNA", at positions 338 to 690 of the family's 1533-position model. The record is from RNAcentral.
CCUACGGGAGGCAGCAGUGAGGAAUAUUGGUCAAUGGACGAGAGUCUGAACCAGCCAAGUAGCGUGAAGGAUGACUGCCCUCUGGGUUGUAAACUUCUUUUAUAAAGGAAUAAAACGAGGCACGUGUGCCUUUUUGCAUGUAUUUUAUGAAUAAGGAUAGGCUAACUCCGUGCCAGCAGCCGCGGUAAUACGGAGGAUCCGAGCGUUAUCCGGAUUUAUUGGGUUUAAAGGGAGCGUAGAUGGGUUGUUAAGUCAGUUGUGAAAGUUUGCGGCUCAACCGUAAAAUGGCAAUUGAUACUGGCAGUCUUGGGGACAGUUGAGGUAGGCGGAAGUCGUGGGGUGGCGGUGAAAUGCU